AUGGAGUCACUCACCCAACAUACAAAUCAGCAUGCCAAGCCCUCAGAUUUCUUAAUGAUGACUAAGUGGAUUGACUGUAUCAAUGAAGCAUCAAGCUGGGCAUCUGGAACACAACUGCGUCAGUUAUUCACCACCAUAUUGUCCCAUUGCGAAGUCACAAGCCCAAAGGUAUUGUGGGAUUCAACAUGGGAGGCGUUGUGUGAAGAUAUGCAAUACAAAAGGACCAUUCUAAACUUUCCAGCACUUCGGCUCACCAACAUGCAGAAGAAAGCCUAUGGUCUAAUUGAGAUAGAAAAACUGAUGAGGCAAGUAGGAAAGUCACUAAAGGACUAUCUAGACAUAGAACUACCGAAUACCGCAGAGCUAGACGAACUUGGGAACAGACUAAUAAACGAAGAGGUCAACUACGACAUGGACAAACUCAAGGAUGAGCACAAAAUAAUACUAAACAAUCUUAACCAAGACCAGAAAAAAUCCUAUGAUGCAAUAAUGGAAUCAGUUGACAAAGGGCUAGGAAAGCAGAUAUUUGUCGAAGGCUACGGUGGCACAGUAAAAACCUAUCUAUGGAAAGCAAUAACGACAAAGCUAAGAUCAGAGGGGAAGAUAGUGCUUGCGGUAGCAUCAUGUGGCAUUGCAGCGUUGCUUCUUCAAGGUGGAAGAACAGCACACUCAAGGUUCCGUAUUCCACUUAAUAUCACUGAAGAAUCAAUGUGUGAAAUAAAACAAGGCUCACAUUUGGCUGAACUGCUAAAGAAGACCUCACUUAUAUUGUGGGACAAAGCUCCUAUGGCAAACAAACACUGCUUCGAGGCACUAGACAAAAGCCUUAGAGAUAUUCUCAGGUUCACUAAUGAAAACAUCACUGAAAAGCCAUUUGGUGGAAUGACAGUUAUACUAGGAGGCGACUUCAGACAAAUCCUCCCAGGAGUACAAAGGAAGGAGAGAGCAGAUAGUUAA
This 957-nucleotide ribosomal RNA is filed under the name Triticum aestivum (bread wheat). RNAcentral describes it as "partial small subunit ribosomal RNA". Lineage: Eukaryota; Viridiplantae; Streptophyta; Magnoliopsida; Poales; Poaceae. The record is from RNAcentral.